GGCAGGGAGUUGCAAGCCUGACAUGGUCGAGGAACAAGAAGGUGGCCGGUGGAGCUGAAGGAUGAUGUUCGAGAGGACGUGAAGCACAAGAUAAUUCUCAAAUGUGAGAUCGAAGGAAAGACAACCAGACUGGUAUCACCACAGGACGACCAAGCCAUGCCUAGAAAGUUUGAGGGAAACUGUUGUUCAACCUGGAAUUCUUUCCACUGAGGGUGAGUGCAGAAUGAGACUUACAGACUUUCAGACUUACAAGAACUCAGAAAUUUUUACCUAUGAAGCACUUUCCUCAGGGUUUUUACAUGGCGGUCUACUCCUGUGGGGUGAGGACAAGAGGAGGUAGGAGCCUACCCAGGAGGACGGUGAAGCCAAGUGCCGCUGUGAGAGCCGUGCCUCUCCUGGACAACGAGUGGUUCAGAAUGGAACAGGUCUGGAAGAGGUUUUUGAGUAUUUUUAGUUUUUACUUGUGCUCCUUCCAAUCCAUUUUCUACAAUGUUGCUCAGCAUCCCCGUGGGGCUACUGUGGCAAGAGAGUUGACCCUUCUCAAUGUGUUUAUAAGACCUGGAGCAGAGUCACAGAAGGGACUGUGAACGGGUACAUGAAGAUUGAAGCAGCCUUAUUCAUAACAGCCAAAAACUGAAAACAACUCAAACGUCCACAAACGGAUAAACAGGGACCCAGUUUUCCUAGAGGUAGACCAGAUGCACAACAAGUUGGAUCACAGAACUGGGGCAACAAAUCUCUCUAGAAAGUGUGUUGAGUACAACACUGAAUUAGGGAACAGUGCCCUGAACUUCAGGUUCACCUUCAGCGUUUCUCUACAGGAAGCUCCAAGGAUGGUCCCUUCCUGUAGAAAGCUCAUGAUCACCUAGGGAGGUUGGCCAAUUCAUGUCAAGAAAGAGCUCAGGAUGCAGGUGUUUCUGCUUUUUCUUCUCCAUGAGGGAGUAAACAUGAGGCUGGCCAGAGGACGUGAGCUUGGAAAGAGGCACAGCAUCGACCUUCACGUGUAAGCCACCAAGUUUUGUUUGACAUGUUCGACAUUUCCUUUUCUUACAAAUGCCUAUCUAUGCCAUUCUCUGUCAGAUUGAACACAGAGACUGUAUUUCUCAAAGUAAUGCAACUCCAACUUACUUUAAGUGCAAGGAGGCAUAGGGCAAGGUUACACUCAAGCCAUUACCAAGAAAGCAAGAGGGAUUGCUGGAGUCUUCCAGCACUUACCUUGAUUACUUGGGAUGUGAUCAGGGCAGGGACAGCUGGAUGCACACAGUGGCAUGGGGCAAACGUGGGAGUAAAGGGUUAACUGUCAGGGUUAAAAUUCAGGACACCCGUUUUAAUUUGAAUUCCAGAUAAACAACAAGUAAUUUUUUAGUGUAAGUGUGUUGUCCCAUGAAAUACAUGUUUGUUUGAAAUUCGAGUUUAAUUGGGAGUCGUCCUUUUUUAUUCACUGAAUUUGGACCCUGGAACACACUGCUACACUGUAAUUGUCGUGAUUGUGUUGUAAUAAUCGCUGGCUUGUUUCCUGUUGCUUUGAAUCUUUUGAUUCCUUCAAGUAUGCC
This is a long non-coding RNA of Mustela erminea (ermine), 1553 nucleotides long. RefSeq lists it as uncharacterized. The transcript is spliced from 3 exons. The record is from RefSeq and is a predicted model, not a curated record. NCBI's taxonomy places the organism in Eukaryota, Metazoa, Chordata, Mammalia, Carnivora, Mustelidae.